Molecule: ribosomal RNA, 514 nt
Filed under: Clostridium botulinum C/D
Lineage: Bacteria; Bacillati; Bacillota; Clostridia; Eubacteriales; Clostridiaceae
Description: partial 23S ribosomal RNA
Rfam family: Bacterial large subunit ribosomal RNA
Source: RNAcentral
UAGCUGGUUCUCCUCGAAAUAGCUUUAGGGCUAGCGUCGGGUAAUUGAGUAGUGGAGGUAGAGCACUGAAUGGGCUAGGGGCUGACAACAGUUACUGAACCCUAUCAAACUCCGAAUGCCAUAUACUUGUACCCCGGCAGUCAGACUACGAAUGAUAAGAUCCGUGGUCAAAAGGGAAACAGCCCAGACCAUCAGCUAAGGUCCCAAAGUGUAAGUUAAGUGGGAAAGGAUGUGGGAUUUCUAAGACAACUAGGAUGUUGGCUUAGAAGCAGCCACUCAUUUAAAGAGUGCGUAAUAGCUCACUAGUCGAGAGAUCCUGCGCCGAAGAUGUAACGGGGCUCAAACUUACCACCGAAGCUAUGGAUGUGUACUAUGUACACGUGGUAGAGGAGCUUUCUGUACAGGUUGAAGUCAUACCGUAAGGAGUGGUGGACAGUACAGAAGUGAGAAUGCUGGCAUAAGUAGCGAAAAACAAGUGAGAAUCUUGUUGACCGAAUAUCUAAGGUUUCCUGGG